UACGUAGGGUGCGAGCGUUAAUCGGAAUUACUGGGCGUAAAGCGUGCGCAGGCGGUUCGUUGUGUCGGCGGUGAAAGCCCCGGGCUUAACCUGGGAAUGGCUGUUGAAACUGGCGAACUGGAGUGUGGCAGAGGGGGGUGGAAUUCCGCGUGUAGCAGUGAAAUGCGUAGAGAUGCGGAGGAACACCGAUGGCGAAGGCAGCCCCCUGGGCUGACACUGACGCUCAGGCACGAAAGCGUGGGGAGCAAACAGG
This 253-nucleotide ribosomal RNA is filed under the name uncultured bacterium. RNAcentral's name for it is "partial 16S ribosomal RNA". It matches the Rfam family "Bacterial small subunit ribosomal RNA", at positions 524 to 776 of the family's 1533-position model. The record is from RNAcentral.